AACAAGCUUCUCAACUAAAGAGACCGCCACUUGUUGUCAAAUAAAUUUCCACACGAUUCGGGUUGUAUGUCGUGAACGGGUCUCGAUUUAUUCUUUAAUCAAGUAUUCUACUUGAAAAGGGUAAAUAGACUUCAACAAACGAUUCAGGUUGUAUGCCACGAACGAGUCUCACUUUCUUGUUUAAUCAAGUAUUCCACUUGAAAAAGGUAAAAGAGCUCUAACAAACUUCUCUGAUGGGAACUUUCCGGAGAGA
Molecule: long non-coding RNA, 253 nt
Filed under: Lathyrus oleraceus (garden pea)
Lineage: Eukaryota; Viridiplantae; Streptophyta; Magnoliopsida; Fabales; Fabaceae
Description: Pisum sativum (pea) long non-coding RNA (PSAT_LNC002060)
Source: RNAcentral